GAAGCCCACACACUUUUGGAGAUCAAAGGUGUGGACUCUGACACUGACAUCAUAGAAGAUGGCAAGCUUGAGGAAUUUGUAGAAGACCAUGCAACCACCUACGAAAAGGCAUAUGAAAAGGCUCAGAUCAACCAAACAAAAGCACAUGCCAAGGCAAAAAAGGCAUACGAAAAGAAAAAAUCCAAGGGGGUCAAAAGCUUUGCACUGCAUGUGGGCCAGCUUGUGCUGAAACGCCAGGCAGCCAACAUUGCACGCAAAGGUGGACAGUGUGAUCCACUGUGGACUGGCCCAUUUAGGUGAGUGACAUUUUUUGCUAAUCUAUGAAUGGCAUUUGAAUAUGUAAUUUUAGUUUUACUAAUCCAGUAAGAUGUGAUCCACUUUGGAGUGGGUAAGAGAAAUUUGUAGUUUAUAUAUGAAUGGCUUUUGAAUAUAAUGUUAUACUAAUUGACAACAACACACUAUUGCAAAUUUUGCCUCCACAACUUCCAUAAAACAUAGUUGACAGUUGACUACAUUUAAGCAUGGUACCUAUAUUAUGUGUGCUGUUAGAUUGCAUAUUUUUCCUGUUGUCUUUUAUGGGCAUGUUUCAGUUCAGUAGUGAUUGUGUUUCCUCAUGUACCUAUGUUGUGAUGUAUGCAUGUUUUAGUUGAUGCUUCUCUCAUGUAUGAACUUUUCCCCUCUUUCUAGUAGUG
Eriocheir sinensis (Chinese mitten crab) is the source of this 692-nucleotide long non-coding RNA. RefSeq lists it as uncharacterized. NCBI's taxonomy places the organism in Eukaryota, Metazoa, Arthropoda, Malacostraca, Decapoda, Varunidae. The record is from RefSeq and is a predicted model, not a curated record. The transcript has 3 exons.